RNAcentral lists this ribosomal RNA (428 nucleotides) under uncultured bacterium. RNAcentral describes it as "bacterial SSU rRNA". It matches the Rfam family "Bacterial small subunit ribosomal RNA", at positions 355 to 775 of the family's 1533-position model. The record is from RNAcentral.
UGGGGAAUAUUGGACAAUGGGGGAAACCCUGAUCCAGCAAUGCCGCGUGUGUGAAGAAGGCCUGAGGGUUGUAAAGCACUUUCAGUGGGGAGGAGGGCUUAUAGGUUAAGAGCUAAUAAGUUGGACGUUACCCACAGAAGAAGCACCGGCUAACUCCGUGCCAGCAGCCGCGGUAAUACGGAGGGUGCGAGCGUUAAUCGGAAUUACUGGGCGUAAAGGGUGCGUAGGUGGUUGAUUAAGUUAUCUGUGAAAUUCCUGGGCUUAACCUGGGCUGGUCAGAUAAUACUGGUUGACUGGAGUAUAGGAGAGGGUAGUGGAAUUUCCGGUGUAGCGGUGAAAUGCGUAGAUAUCGGAAGGAACACCAGUGGCGAAGGCGGCUACCUGGCCUGAUACUGACACUGAGGCACGAAAGCGUGGGGAGCAAACAG